AUGGAGAGGGAGCUUGCUCUUCGAUUCAGCGGCGGACGGGUGAGUAAUGCCUAGGAAUCUGCCUAGUAGUGGGGGACAACGUUUCGAAAGGAACGCUAAUACCGCAUACGUCCUACGGGAGAAAGUGGGGGAUCUUCGGACCUCACGCUAUUAGAUGAGCCUAGGUCGGAUUAGCUAGUUGGUAGGGUAAAGGCCUACCAAGGCGACGAUCCGUAACUGGUCUGAGAGGAUGAUCAGUCACACUGGAACUGAGACACGGUCCAGACUCCUACGGGAGGCAGCAGUGGGGAAUAUUGGACAAUGGGCGAAAGCCUGAUCCAGCCAUGCCGCGUGUGUGAAGAAGGCCUUCGGGUCGUAAAGCACUUUAAGUUGGGAGGAAGGGCUCAUAGCGAAUACCUGUGAGUUUUGACGUUACCAACAGAAUAAGCACCGGCUAACUUCGUGCCAGCAGCCGCGGUAAUACGAAGGGUGCAAGCGUUAAUCGGAAUUACUGGGCGUAAAGCGCGCGUAGGUGGCUUGAUAAGUUGGAUGUGAAAUCCCCGGGCUCAACCUGGGAACUGCAUCCAAAACUGUCUGGCUAGAGUGCGGUAGAGGGUAGUGGAAUUUCCAGUGUAGCGGUGAAAUGCGUAGAUAUUGGAAGGAACACCAGUGGCGAAGGCGACUACCUGGACUGACACUGACACUGAGGUGCGAAAGCGUGGGGAGCAAACAGGAUUAGAUACCCUGGUAGUCCACGCCGUAAACGAUGUCAACUAGCCGUUGGGAUCCUUGAGAUCUUAGUGGCGCAGCUAACGCAUUAAGUUGACCGCCUGGGGAGUACGGCCGCAAGGUUAAAACUCAAAUGAAUUGACGGGGGCCCGCACAACCGGUGGAGCAUGUGCUUUAAUUCGAAGCAACGCGAAGAACCUUACCUGGCCUUGACUGUUGAAAACUUUCCAGAAAUGAAUGGUGCC
RNAcentral lists this ribosomal RNA (953 nucleotides) under Pseudomonas oryzihabitans. RNAcentral's name for it is "bacterial SSU rRNA". It matches the Rfam family "Bacterial small subunit ribosomal RNA", at positions 70 to 1017 of the family's 1533-position model. The record is from RNAcentral. Lineage: Bacteria; Pseudomonadati; Pseudomonadota; Gammaproteobacteria; Pseudomonadales; Pseudomonadaceae.